GCUCCUGUGGAUUAGUGGUUAUAGUGUCUGCCUCGGAUGCGGGAGGUCGUCGGUUCGAACCCCGGCCGAGUCA
Non-coding RNA from Potamilus streckersoni, 73 nucleotides. The record is from the annotation of a GenBank genome assembly. NCBI's taxonomy places the organism in Eukaryota, Metazoa, Mollusca, Bivalvia, Unionida, Unionidae.